RNA transcript from Bactrocera latifrons, 624 nucleotides. It is a transcript of the gene named cuticle collagen 3A3-like, with no coding region annotated. The transcript has 4 exons. The record is from RefSeq and is a predicted model, not a curated record. Lineage: Eukaryota; Metazoa; Arthropoda; Insecta; Diptera; Tephritidae.
ACAAGUUUAGCUAUGAAACUCUAUCUGCUAACAAUUUUUGCCGUGUUGGUCCUUUUGGUCCUUCCACCAGCCGCAAAUGCGCAAGCGCAGAUUGCCACUGAGGAACCAACACCGUCAAAUUCUACAAUUCCUCAGGACCCUCCAGGUUCUCUAGGCCCUCCAGAACCCCCAGGCUUUCCAGGUUCUCAUGGCUCUCCAAGUCCUCCAGGCCUUCCAAGAACUCCAGGCCMUCAACCAGUUGAUCCAUUCAGUAUAACUGGAUAUUUUAGUGGUCUAUGAAUAUAGUGUCAUAUAAUGUCUAUUUGUGUGUUGAAUUUGAAGUUCGUAUGCUCAACAGCUAGACCAUCCAAAUUUGAUGAAAACGAAAAUGAAGCACACGUACAAAUAUCUCGCAGCUCUUUGUUCCCACUUUCUUAUAACUGUUGCCUCAGAUGACGAUGUUAGCCCACCCGUGCAGGACGGAGAUGUCAAGGUGCCACUUAUACGAGAGCCACGUGAUGCUUUCUUUUGAUUCUUAAGUCAAAUGGAAACUAAAAUCUACUUUGUUUAAUGGUUAAUUGUAAUUGGUUUAUUAUUAUUAUUUUAUUUUUCUUUAUAAAAAUAUAAAUAUUAUUUUAAAUCAGA